GAGAGUAUAGUUUAAGGGUAAAACCGUAGCGUUCCAUGUUACAAAUCCGGGUUCGAAUCUCCGGUAUUCUUA
The sequence is a transfer RNA, 72 nucleotides long. It matches the Rfam family "tRNA". From Rfam's summary of the family: Transfer RNA (tRNA) molecules are approximately 80 nucleotides in length. Their secondary structure includes four short double-helical elements and three loops (D, anti-codon, and T loops). The record is from Rfam.